RNAcentral lists this unclassified non-coding RNA (220 nucleotides) under plant metagenome. Its description in RNAcentral is "partial contains small subunit ribosomal RNA, internal transcribed spacer 1, and 5.8S ribosomal RNA". The record is from RNAcentral.
UUUCCGUAGGUGAACCAGCGGAAGGAUCAUUACAGAGUUCAUGCCCUCACGGGUAGAUCUCCCACCCUUGAAUAUUUAUACCUUAGUUGCUUUGGCAGGCCGUGGAAACACCAUGGGCUCCGGCUUAUGCGUGCCUGCCAGAGGAAACAAACUCUGUUUUUAGUGAUGUCUGAGUACUAUAUAAUAGUUAAAACUUUCAACAACGGAUCUCUUGGUUCUG